Molecule: ribosomal RNA, 722 nt
Filed under: uncultured bacterium
Lineage: Bacteria
Description: bacterial SSU rRNA
Rfam family: Bacterial small subunit ribosomal RNA
Source: RNAcentral
UGGAGGGGGAUAACUACUGGAAACGGUAGCUAAUACCGCAUAACGUCGCAAGACCAAAGAGGGGGACCUUCGGGCCUCUUGCCAUCGGAUGUGCCCAGAUGGGAUUAGCUUGUUGGUGGGGUAACGGCUCACCAAGGCGACGAUCCCUAGCUGGUCUGAGAGGAUGACCAGCCACACUGGAACUGAGACACGGUCCAGACUCCUACGGGAGGCAGCAGUGGGGAAUAUUGCACAAUGGGCGCAAGCCUGAUGCAGCCAUGCCGCGUGUAUGAAGAAGGCCUUCGGGUUGUAAAGUACUUUCAGCGGGGAGGAAGGGAGUAAAGUUAAUACCUUUACUCAUUGACGUUACCCGCAGAAGAAGCACCGGCUAACUCCGUGCCAGCAGCCGCGGUAAUACGGAGGGUGCAAGCGUUAAUCGGAAUUACUGGGCGUAAAGCGCACGCAGGCGGUUUGUUAAGUCAGAUGUGAAAUCCCCGGGCUCAACCUGGGAACUGCAUCUGAUACUGGCAAGCUUGAGUCUCGUAGAGGGGGGUAGAAUUCCAGGUGUAGCGGUGAAAUGCGUAGAGAUCUGGAGGAAUACCGGUGGCGAAGGCGGCCCCCUGGACGAAGACUGACGCUCAGGUGCGAAAGCGUGGGGAGCAAACAGGAUUAGAUGCCCUGGUAGUCCACGCCGUAAACGAUGUCGACUUGGAGGUUGUGCCCUUGAGGCGUGGCUUCCGGAG